Molecule: ribosomal RNA, 253 nt
Filed under: uncultured bacterium
Lineage: Bacteria
Description: partial 16S ribosomal RNA
Rfam family: Bacterial small subunit ribosomal RNA
Source: RNAcentral
UACGUAGGGUGCGAGCGUUAAUCGGAAUUACUGGGCGUAAAGUGUGCGCAGGCGGCCGCGCAAGUCGAGUGUGAAAGCCCAGGGCUUAACUUGGGAAUUGCGCUCGAAACUACGUGGCUGGAGUGUGGCAGAGGAAGGUGGAAUUCCACGUGUAGCGGUGAAAUGCGUAGAGAUGUGGAGGAACACCAAUGGCGAAGGCAGCCUUCUGGGCCAACACUGACGCUCAUGCACGAAAGCGUGGGGAGCAAACAGG